This 1485-nucleotide ribosomal RNA is filed under the name uncultured bacterium. RNAcentral's name for it is "partial 16S ribosomal RNA". It matches the Rfam family "Bacterial small subunit ribosomal RNA". The record is from RNAcentral.
AUGGCUCACGAUGAACGCUAGCGACAGGCCUAACACAUGCAAGUCGAGGGGCAUCGGGGCGAGGAGCAAUCCUUGCCGCCGGCGACCGGCGCACGGGUGAGUAACGCGUAUGCGACCUGCCCGUUGCAGGGGGAUAAUCGGGAGAAAUCCCGUCUAAUACCGCGUAAUGCCGCGGGGCUGCAUGGCCCUGCGGCCAAAGGGAGCGAUUCCGGCAACGGAUGGGCAUGCGUGACAUUAGCUAGUUGGCGGGGCAACGGCCCACCAAGGCGACGAUGUCUAGGGGUUCUGAGAGGAAGGUCCCCCACACUGGUACUGAGACACGGACCAGACUCCUACGGGAGGCAGCAGUGAGGAAUAUUGGUCAAUGGGCGCGAGCCUGAACCAGCCAAGUCGCGUGAGGGAUGACGGCCCUACGGGUUGUAAACCUCUUUUGUCGGGGAGCAAAUUCCGCCACGUGUGGCGGAGUCGAGAGUACCCGAAGAAAAAGCAUCGGCUAACUCCGUGCCAGCAGCCGCGGUAAUACGGAGGAUGCGAGCGUUAUCCGGAUUUAUUGGGUUUAAAGGGUGCGUAGGCGGACUGUCAAGUCAGCGGUAAAAUACGGGGGCUCAACCUCCGCCCGCCGUUGAAACUGACGGUCUUGAGUGGGCGAGAAGUAUGCGGAAUGCGUGGUGUAGCGGUGAAAUGCAUAGAUAUCACGCAGAACUCCGAUUGCGAAGGCAGCAUACCGGCGCCCGACUGACGCUGAAGCACGAAAGCGUGGGUAUCGAACAGGAUUAGAUACCCUGGUAGUCCACGCAGUAAACGAUGAAUACUAGCUGUCCGGGGCGAAUGAGCCCUGGGUGGCACAGCGAAAGCGUUAAGUAUUCCACCUGGGGAGUACGCCGGCAACGGUGAAACUCAAAGGAAUUGACGGGGGCCCGCACAAGCGGAGGAACAUGUGGUUUAAUUCGAUGAUACGCGAGGAACCUUACCCGGGCUCAAACGACACAGGAACGUACCUGAAAGGGUUCGGCUCUACGGAGCCUGUGUCGAGGUGCUGCAUGGUUGUCGUCAGCUCGUGCCGUGAGGUGUCGGCUUAAGUGCCAUAACGAGCGCAACCCCCAUCGACAGUUGCUAACAGGUCAGGCUGAGGACUCUGUCGAGACUGCCGGCGCAAGCUGCGAGGAAGGCGGGGAUGACGUCAAAUCAGCACGGCCCUUACGUCCGGGGCGACACACGUGUUACAAUGGCAGGUACAGCGGGAAGCCACCUGGCGACAGGGAGCGGAACCCGAAAGCCUGUCUCAGUUCGGAUUGGAGUCUGCAACCCGACUCCAUGAAGCUGGAUUCGCUAGUAAUCGCGCAUCAGCCACGGCGCGGUGAAUACGUUCCCGGGCCUUGUACACACCGCCCGUCAAGCCAUGGAAGCCGGGGGUGCCUGAAGUGCGCUGCCGCGAGGAGCGCCCUAGGGUAAAACCGGUGACUGGGGCUAAGUCGUAACAAGGUA